NNNNNNNNNNNNNNNNNNNNNNNNNNNNNNNNNNNNNNNNNNNNNNNNNNNNNNNNNNNNGGCGGAGGUGGUCGACCCGGCCUCGCACACGCAGGGCAGGGGCUGGCGGGGUGGGGGGCUGCAGCCGCCUGGAGGGACCCCUCACGCUGGCGAAGGAUUGUCUGCUCUCCCGGGGAAGCUCUGGGGCUCGGAAAUACUAUUCUUAUCCCAGGGGGCGGCGGCGUGGGCUGUGAGUGUGCUGCGUUACAUGGGGGGGACGUCUUUGCUGCAGGUGGAGCUCCGUAGCGUCUCCGAGCCGCCGCAGAAAUGCCGGCGCGCGGGGCUUACGGUGGGAGGCCGGACAGCGCUGCGAGGUGCACCCGUCAGAAUGCCCCGCGCGCCGGCAUGUGGGGUCAUCUGCUUCUCGGAGUUUUCAACGCCAAACACAGAUCCAGAAAACCAGGAGGGUCUGGAUUUGGGGGCGGGGGUGUCGCGGCUCCGUGUUGGGUCUCUAUAUAACGGGAGGCGGAAUUUCUUGACGGUAUUGCUGAAGAUUAUCCGAAGUUCCGGGAAUCACCAAAAGCAGGGAAAAGUGGAAAAAGUUCAAAAGAAGGACAAGACAUAAUAGACUCAGAGGUAACUGCUCUCAAAUAUUCCCUUUCCGUUUUUUCGUGAACUCCUUUUAACCAGGGGCAGCACAGCGUGGUGAAAGCCAGGCUCUUCUAGAAUGUUUCCCUGCACGAGAUUGUCUGCGAGUCUCCUUUAUAAACUGAAAUUUCAGUUCUUUCGGUUUUCGUUAUUUUAGUCUGGGGAAAGACGGAUGGGUUUAUGGAAGUUGUGUCUGUGCAACUGGUAUUUUUAAGUUUAUGACCACCCCCCCCCCCCAGACGCAGCCGCCCUCCUGCAGAGGCUGGUUUCCCCACCCUCGGUCGUUGGUGCUUUUAGCUUUCAGAUCCUCCUCCCCUUCCUUGCUUUGCAAGUCCGCUGCCAGGUCAGGUCCGUCCCUCCCAGUGGCUCCUCCUCCCCUCACCUUUGAUUCUCUGGUGCGGUCUUUGUGCUCUGCUGAUGUCUGAUGCCCAGAGCCUCUUUCCGUAGUGGCAUGGGUUGGUACCUCUCAGCUGAGUUAGUUUGGGUACUUGGAUACGAUCCUCUGUCAUCUGUCACUUGUUCUCUCUCUGCGUUGGCCAGUCCUCACUUCUUUUGCUUCUUCGCUGUGGACUCACCGAAGAGCAGCAGGAAUGCUUGGUGAGGACCGUGUCUCCCUGGUGGGGUUGAUGGCGUUCCUGGGCACACAGGUGCUAGCACUUGGCCUGUUCUUCAUUGGGAGCAGUUGUUGAACUAGAGCCCCUCAGGCGAAGGAUCCAGGAGCUGUCUGGACCCAGGCUGAGCUAGGAAGCCUUUUCGGAUCACUGGUAGCCAAGAAGCGGCUUGCUCGUGGUUUCAUGUUCUCCAGAGCUCGAUCACCCAGGUCCCUGGGCUUAUCACAGAUGACAUUAAUUUCAGAUGUCAGAUCCCUUUCCUGUAAGCCAAAUUAGAAUGAGUUCCAUGUCAUCUGGGGAAACACAGUUACCUGGUGAUUAUAGGCAUAGCCUUUUUUCUUUUUUUUUUUUUAAAGCCCUGGGGAGUGGUAUCUUUUCCUUAUCAUUUGGUGCAUUCUCAGCCUCCCUUCUCUUUAGCAGGUGGUUGGUUCCAGCAAAUCUGUCACCCUCCCCGAAGCAAAAAGAGAUAGACCCAAAGGUUCCUUAAAUAUCAGUAGUUGGGAAUUACUGGUGCCAGUUCUUCUCUGCCCUGUCUUUAUAACGGAUAAUCACGUUUUACAGUGACAUUCUUGUUUUUGACUUGCUUCCUUCCGAGUCAGUUUUUUUACUAAAUCGAUUUAAGUGAAAUUUAGUCCCUUUGCAAGGGUAGUAUGCGUUUUCUUUCCUUUUGCUUACGGGUGUUUCAUUAAAGCUGCUAAGGCUUCCAGUACUGCCCCGAACCUUCCUCGGUCACACACCUGUCUCUUCUCACCGUUAGUGGGGCAAAGAACAUCAGUGGUCUGGUUCAUUUAUUCCCAUUUUAGCAGAACGAACCUGAAUUGAAGGAUUGAUAACAUUAAGUUUGAACCUGGAAAGUCCAUCCGUUCACUUAAAGAUCACAAACCUGCUAGUACGUACAGUGCGUGUCUUUAAGGUGGUUUGGGUUCCUAGACUGUCAGCUGCUUAAGACUCUUUAGGUGUGGCCCCCUCCAGUGCCUGAGUGUGAUGCCCCACUUGUCUUUUUGUAUUUUUUCUAGAGCUACUGUCUAAGAGCUGGAGCUACAGAGCUUGAAAUUACCACCGAAAAAUACUGACAUGGUGGGCCCUUCACUGCUUCCUCAUAAGGAUACCAGAGGCAACAAGGCCCAUUAAGCAGGACAGUGGGCACAGGACUGUGUACGUUGUUUUGCAGGAGUACUAAUUGAGGCACUUCAGUUCAUUUGAACUUUGGGUUGAGCCUGAAUUUGUUCGAUGUCGGUUCCCUUCUCAGUCUUCAUCCCGCUUCUUCAGCUCUGGUUCCACCCACUUGCAGAUACGGUUGACCCGCUCAGGGGCUCGAGACCCUCAUUGCGCACUUUUUCCCUCUCCUGUCAACAUUCCUCUGAACUUGAAUGUUUUUGACCUGAACUGUUCAAAUAGGACUGCUUUUCUCGUGCUGCUUUUCAGACCUGUUCAGUGUCCCAUCACCUUCACAGCUGGCUCUCGCUCGGGUCAGCCUGUGAACUCACCUGGGGUGGGGGCGUUUCCCCCAUUUGGGACUGUCCCAGCCUGAGGGGCGUGCAGAACAGGAGUCCGCCCAGGGCAGAGUAGCCAGGCUUGGGAAAUCAUCUCAACAGAGAACACAUGAAAAAGAACUUGGCCCGUGGUUGGUUGACUUAACACACUACUUCAAGACUGGAAAAGGUCCUUACGCCUCAAAUCCUGGCUGGCUGUAACCCAGCCUCACGGAAAACAGAGGCACCAAGUGGCUUAUGCUGCAGAACACUUUUCUGUUAGAACAAAGGAACAUUUCAUUGUACAGGGGUGUUUAGGAAGACAGAGUUCUGUGGUAAAGGAUAGAGUGGUGUAGGGGAACAUAUUUUAACCUGGGGAGUAAAAAUGCUGACUCCUGAGUGCCCUAAGUGAUGUCACCUAGCUUCCAUGGCCCUGUUUCCUCGCCUCCAAAAACAGUGGAGAGUUUCAGAUUUGGCCAUUUUUAAUUUGAUGGGAUAGAUUAGACGUGACCCCUCUUGAAAAAGUUUUCCCUGCGAGAUGUAAGGCAGAAUACAUCUUCCAGGUAACAAAAUAGCAGUAAAGGUCAUAACUGCUCCUGGGCACAUUUUUCUAGAAAUUUCUUCUCGAAUGAUGUGUACUGGUACACUUUUGUUUGUUUUAUUCUCUUUCAAGUAGGAUGUUUUAAUUUAUAUACUCAAAACUAAAGUUUCUGCCCAGUACUUACAGGUUUAUUUCGUGGCACACUUAAGGAGUGAGGCCACAGGUGGGCUCCUGGGUGCUCAGGAGACUGACAGAGGGAACUCCGCUCUGAACAUCUGUCCUUGGUGUCAUGUUCAAAGCUGUGCAAACAUAUCUAGGCCCCCUUGAAGAAUAUUUAGAAUCUUCAUUGAUCACUCAGAGAUUUCUAAAGUCUGUUCUGGAAGAUGAGACCAUGCCGUGGUGUUUUUUAUAGUAGCUGUUUUAAUUUGUAUACUGCAUCCAAAGUUAUGUUUUUAAAAGUGUUAAUGCUCUCUGUAAAGUGAUUUGUUUCAAGCACAUUAAAGGUUGUUUUGAGCGCUGUUCUCUGGUCACGUAUGUUACCUGUCCUGCUUCAGUGUAGUUUGGUCUGGAAGUCUCUACGGCAACUCUGACGUAAUACCUCUUCCUGGAAAGAAAGCUGAAUGGUCCUCUCCAGCUCGUUAGCUCAUUUUGACAUCUUCUGCCCUUAGCCAUAACGUUUUCCUCUCUAUAAUCCGUCCCUUUACAUCCCAGGAAACCCCCCUCAGUGUUGCAGAGACGGGGAGCCGGGCUUGCUGAGGUCCCACAGGUAUGGCUGGCAAGUCCUGUUUGAGAAAGUAAACCGGAAAUUUCAAAAACUUUAAAUUCAUCUUAUAAUAACCCCCAUUACCUGGUAACAGAAACAACAUUUUGGUGGAAAGUAUUUCUUAAGAAGAUCUGACUUUCUAGGCACUCGGCUUUGUAGCAGGAAUUUUAACCUGAGUGUUGGAGGACAGUGGAAGUGGUCUGUUGGCAGGUGUGUUUCCUAGGGAGAAGGCUGUGACCAUCACCUUCUAAGGGGAGAGUCCCCGACUCCCCUCCCCCAUAACACCAAAGCCACUGUCUACAGACUGAAUUCUGAGCUCAUGCUGUCACUAGGGGCUGCCUCUGCCACACUGCCCAUCAUUCUCUCCCCACUUUUUUUC
RNAcentral lists this long non-coding RNA (4393 nucleotides) under Mustela putorius furo (domestic ferret). Its description in RNAcentral is "lncRNA (ENSMPUG00000029370.1)". The record is from RNAcentral. Lineage: Eukaryota; Metazoa; Chordata; Mammalia; Carnivora; Mustelidae.